Molecule: ribosomal RNA, 253 nt
Filed under: uncultured bacterium
Lineage: Bacteria
Description: partial 16S ribosomal RNA
Rfam family: Bacterial small subunit ribosomal RNA
Source: RNAcentral
UACGAAGGGGGCUAGCGUUGCUCGGAAUGACUGGGCGUAAAGGGCGCGUAGGCGGCUUGUAUAGUCGGAUGUGAAAUUCCUGGGCUCAACCUGGGGGCUGCGUUUGAUACGUGCGGACUUGAGUGCGGAAGAGGGUCGUGGAAUUCCCAGUGUAGAGGUGAAAUUCGUAGAUAUUGGGAAGAACACCGGUGGCGAAGGCGGCGACCUGGUCCGAUACUGACGCUGAGGCGCGAAAGCGUGGGGAGCAAACAGG